AAGCAGUGGGAGCACCCUUUGGGUGUGACUGCGUACCUUUUGUAUAAUGGGUCAGCGACUUAUAUUCUGUAGCAAGGUUAACCGAAUAGGGGAGCCGGAGGGAAACCGAGUCUUAACCGGGCGUUAAGUUGCAGGGUAUAGACCCGAAACCCGGUGAUCUAGCCAUGGGCAGGUUGAAGGUUGGGUAACACUAACUGGAGGACCGAACCGACUAAUGUUGAAAAAUUAGCGGAUGACCUGUGGCUGGGGGUGAAAGGCCAAUCAAACCGGGAGAUAGCUGGUUCUCCCCGAAAGCUAUUUAGGUAGCGCCUCGUGAAUUCAUCUCCGGGGGUAGAGCACUGUUUCGGCUAGGGGGCCAUCCCGGCUUACCAACCCGAUGCAAACUGCGAAUACCGGAGAAUGUUAUCACGGGAGACACACGGCGGGUGCUAACGUCCGUCGUGAAGAGGGAAACAACCCAGACCGCCAGCUAAGGUCCCAAAGUCAUGGUUAAGUGGGAAACGAUGUGGGAAGGCCCAGACAGCCAGGAUGUUGGCUUAGAAGCAGCCAUCAUUUAAAGAAAGCGUAAUAGCUCACUGGUCGAGUCGGCCUGCGCGGAAGAUGUAACGGGGCUAAACCAUGCACCGAAGCUGCGGCAGCGACACUGUGUGUUGUUGGGUAGGGGAGCGUUCUGUAAGCCUGUGAAGGUGUGUCGUGAGGC
This 700-nucleotide ribosomal RNA is filed under the name Salmonella enterica. RNAcentral describes it as "partial 23S ribosomal RNA". It matches the Rfam family "Bacterial large subunit ribosomal RNA", at positions 568 to 1269 of the family's 2925-position model. Lineage: Bacteria; Pseudomonadati; Pseudomonadota; Gammaproteobacteria; Enterobacterales; Enterobacteriaceae. The record is from RNAcentral. RNAcentral also lists the same sequence under 1 other name.